RNAcentral lists this long non-coding RNA (599 nucleotides) under Bos indicus x Bos taurus (hybrid cattle). RNAcentral describes it as "lncRNA (ENSBIXG00005028859.1)". The record is from RNAcentral. Lineage: Eukaryota; Metazoa; Chordata; Mammalia; Artiodactyla; Bovidae.
GACAGAUGCCAGCUGUCAGUGCCUUCAGGAUCUGCUCAGGUGUGGAGAACUGCCUUCUCAGCAGGUUGGGACCAUUAGCAGGAAUGAAAGAAAUAUCCUAGACAAAGGAAGAACUAUUCCAACGCCAGCCUCAAGCUGGAAUGUGUUCUAGUCGAUUCCCUUUUCUUGCUUAGCAAGCACUGAGCUUCCUGUUUCUGGUUUGGACCUGAAGUGGAGGUUCCCAAAUACCAACAGGAAGGUCAUACUUGUGGUCUCCCUCCCUUGCUGAAACCCUGCUGAAGCCUGAAGUGCUAGAAUUCCACGUGGGUGUCAUUUUCUCAAGAGACUUCCAGCUGCAGUUCCCAGACCAGAGGUUGAUGCUACUCUUACGCUCUAGUGCAGUGUGCCAAAACAUGACUGAAUAAAGUCUUUGACAGUAAAGGGAACUUUGGAUGCCUUCUUGUAUUCUACAGCAUGUGCUUAGUGUCUGGGACAUCAUAAAUGGUGAACGAAGGCAAUCAGCACAUGUCAAAGGAACACACGUGAAUCAGUUCUAAUGAAGUGGAUGAACCUAGAGCCUAUUAACAGAGUGGAGUAAGUCAGAAAGAGAAAAACAAAUA